CAGGCGCGGUGAGAUCACCGCGCCCCGGACGAGGUGCGUCGUACCCGGUCAGCGACAAGACGACGCGUU
This 69-nucleotide non-coding RNA is filed under the name Mycolicibacterium iranicum. The record is from RNAcentral. Lineage: Bacteria; Bacillati; Actinomycetota; Actinomycetes; Mycobacteriales; Mycobacteriaceae.